AGUGAACGCUGGCGGUAGGCCUAACACAUGCAAGUCGAACGGCAGCACAGUAAGAGCUUGCUCUUACGGGUGGCGAGUGGCGGACGGGUGAGGAAUACAUCGGAAUCUACUUUUUCGUGGGGGAUAACGUAGGGAAACUUACGCUAAUACCGCAUACGACCUACGGGUGAAAGCAGGGGAUCUUCGGACCUUGCGCGAUUGAAUGAGCCGAUGUCGGAUUAGCUAGUUGGCGGGGUAAGGGCCCACCAAGGCGACGAUCCGUAGCUGGUCUGAGAGGAUGACAGGCCACACUGGAACUGAGACGCGCUCCAGACGCCGACGGUAGGCACCAGUCGGGAAUCUGCUGCAAUGGGCUGAAGCUGGACGGACCUUCGCCGGGUGAGUGAGGAAGGUCUCCGGAUCGUAAAAUUCGGUGACGAUGGAAGAACAAAAGUCUAAGUAACGAGGCAUGUCGUGAGCGGACCUAAUACGAAAGCCAAGGCUAACCACGCG
Molecule: ribosomal RNA, 492 nt
Filed under: uncultured bacterium
Lineage: Bacteria
Description: partial 16S ribosomal RNA
Rfam family: Bacterial small subunit ribosomal RNA
Source: RNAcentral